CGCAUUUUGCCAUUUCGUAAGGAAAUUAUCAGUCACGACUGAUCAUACAAAUAUGUGCAUGAUACUGUGAUUAAUUUGUCUGUGUGAUUAAACAGUGGAUUAAUUAGAACCAAAGAAAUGAAACUAAACAUGCUGCAAUUUUGAAAGGAAUCAUGUCAAAAGCGUCAAAGAGUUUGUCCACGUCUUUGACUUUUUGUGUGCCCAAGACCAGAUUGCCAUUAUUAUACGAAUUGUAUUCCAUUUGAUGAUUGUAAUUUACAAGUGAUGAUUGUAUUUUUCCAAUCAACUUUUCGCUUAUUUCUGCCACAAUAUCGCUCAAACCUUGUGAGAAUUACGUUGAUUAAUUAAGUUCCGACAGAAUCUUUUUUAACUAUAUAUAACUGGCAUGGCAAAGCCCCCUCCCCCAUUUUCCAUGAUGCCUCCACCAGUCAACUAGUUUUCCCCCUUCCUCAGUUAAGGUCCCUUUUUCUCUAAAAUAUAAGCAAAAUAUUGGAAGGAAAAUGGAAUUUAGAAGGGAGUUUUGAUAUUCAAGUAACUGAACCUUCCUUUGUGAAACUUAUGUCAUGUGUUUUAUCUUCUUUUUACAUUGUGUUGUAAAUACUUUAGAUUUUAAAGUCUUCAAGUGGAUAGCAUAGCCCAAACCCUAUAAAUUUGAAUUGUUGAAGGCUAGGCUGAACAAGUUAGUGGUCAUGUCGUGGUAUUUACUGAUAAACAUGCAUACCAUGCAAGGACUGAACUCAAGAUUCAUUCUGUCUACAGUAUAAAGUGACGUACGCGUACGCUGUAUAUACAAAAAUCUCCUUCAGAAAACGCAGGAAAUGCAAUCGUAGGGGUAAAAAAAUACGAACCUUUUCUGGGAGAGCCCCCAGGCCUCUCUAUGAUAUGACACCACACCAAACUUUGGAUCACUAACAACCAUCUGUCGCUUCUCUACACUAGCUUAUGG
Molecule: non-coding RNA, 946 nt
Organism: Paramuricea clavata
Lineage: Eukaryota; Metazoa; Cnidaria; Anthozoa; Malacalcyonacea; Plexauridae
Source: the annotation of a GenBank genome assembly